This 425-nucleotide ribosomal RNA is filed under the name uncultured bacterium. RNAcentral's name for it is "partial 16S ribosomal RNA". It matches the Rfam family "Bacterial small subunit ribosomal RNA", at positions 354 to 796 of the family's 1533-position model. The record is from RNAcentral.
GUGGGGAAUCUUCCACAAUGGGCGCAAGCCUGAUCCAGCAAUGCCGCGUGGGUGAAGAAGGUCUUCGGAUCGUAAAGCCCUUUCGACAGGGACGAUGAUGACGGUACCUGUAGAAGAAGUCCCGGCUAACUUCGUGCCAGCAGCCGCGGUAAUACGAAGGGGGCUAGCGUUACUCGGAAUUACUGGGCGUAAAGGGCGCGUAGGCGGCUCUGUUAGUCAGGCGUGAAAUUCCUGGGCUUAACCUGGGGACUGCGCUUGAUACUGCAGGGCUUGAGGCCGAGGGAGGGUGGUGGAAUUCCCAGUGUAGAGGUGAAAUGCGUAGAUAUUGGGAAGAACACCGGUGGCGAAGGCGACCACCUGGCUCGGUUCUGACGCUGAGGCGCGACAGCGUGGGGAGCAAACAGGAUUAGAAACCCGUGUAGUCC